Molecule: long non-coding RNA, 554 nt
Filed under: Elaeis guineensis (African oil palm)
Lineage: Eukaryota; Viridiplantae; Streptophyta; Magnoliopsida; Arecales; Arecaceae
Description: long non-coding RNA (EGUI_LNC040459)
Source: RNAcentral
CUCCGGAACCCUUAGACUCCUCCAGCAGACGAGCCUCCCCAACGCCAUCCGAAGUCCACCACCAGCCGACCUUCCGCCAGAUUUCUCAUGAAACCAGACUCCUCCGACGGAUAAUCUUCAGACGAGCUUCCGCAUCAGGCAAAUCCCAGACGGACUUUCUUAGCAAUUGGACUCCUACCGGACUUCGCCAAUAGAAAGUCUUCAUCCGAGUCUCUACAGUAGAUGGUUCUCACAUGUAGCCUCAGCACCCAAGGCCUCCGACAAUAGUAGACUCGUCAGCGACCUCAGAAAUAUCCGAGCUUCUCCUAGAUCAACGAGACAGAGAGCCAUUCCACUCCAUCAGACAUCCCAGUCGAGCUUCAGCUGACAGAUCCGAACUCUCUGGCAAGCCGCGAUGAGGGCCGCUACCCUGCUCCACUCUCUGCAACGGAUUCCAUGCGGCUCCACCACUCUCUGCAAUGAAUUUCAUGCGGCUCCACUACUCUCUGGCAAGCCACAACAAGGGCCACUACCCUGCUCCACUCUCUGGCAAGUCACGACAACGGACACCACUC